RNAcentral lists this long non-coding RNA (94 nucleotides) under Lynx canadensis (Canada lynx). Its description in RNAcentral is "lncRNA (ENSLCNG00005001984.1)". Lineage: Eukaryota; Metazoa; Chordata; Mammalia; Carnivora; Felidae. The record is from RNAcentral.
CGGCGACUGCACCUGCGCAAGGUCCCAGCUGUACUCAAGGAGUCCGUCAGGAGUUAAGGAUCCUGAAGCAGUAGCUGAAGCCUGGGCCCAUCUC